RNAcentral lists this ribosomal RNA (430 nucleotides) under Dendrosoter protuberans. RNAcentral's name for it is "eukaryotic LSU rRNA". The record is from RNAcentral. Lineage: Eukaryota; Metazoa; Arthropoda; Insecta; Hymenoptera; Braconidae.
CCUGAGAAACCCAAAAGAUCGAAUGGGGAGAUUCAUCGUCAGCACAUUUUGUAUAUGUAUGAGUUAUGAUGCGGGUUACUCUCGAGUAUUGCCUGCACAUUCUUGUAUAUUUAGUUGCAAGAUGUUGUCGGCGUGCACUUCUUCCCUUAGUAGGACGUCGUGACCCGUUGGGUGUUGGUUUACGGCCCAGGUGGUAGCCUCCAAUGUUUUUAAUAAAUAUUAGAGACCCUUGGUGUUUUCUGACCAACUGCCCGGCGGUAUUCGUACGGUAUUUAGCCGCAUUUUAUUAUGCGUCCACGCCCGUCGCAAGCGCGGUUAGAUUUCGAUAGUACGGACUUGGUGCCGUCGUUGUAUCUGACCAGCUGUUGGUUGUUACGGUGUUCUAGGACUGGCUAAAAAUUGAAAUUACCGGUCGACGAUGCUACUGCUU